This 604-nucleotide ribosomal RNA is filed under the name uncultured archaeon. Its description in RNAcentral is "bacterial SSU rRNA". It matches the Rfam family "Bacterial small subunit ribosomal RNA", at positions 396 to 1018 of the family's 1533-position model. The record is from RNAcentral.
GCCGCGUGAGUGAAGAAGGCCUUUGGGUUGUAAAGCUCUUUUGUAGGGGGAGAUAAUGACUGUACCCUAAGAAUAAGGUCCGGCUAACUUCGUGCCAGCAGCCGCGGUAAUACGAAGGGACCUAGCGUAGAUCGGAAUUACUGGGCGUAAAGCGCGCGUAGGCCGUUGAGUUAGUUAAUUGUGAAAUCCCAAAGCUUAACUUUGGAACUGCAAUUAAAACUGCUCGACUAGAGUUUGAUAGAGGAAAGCGGAAUACAUAGUGUAGAGGUGAAAUUCGUAGAUAUUAUGUAGAACACCAGUUGCGAAGGCGGCUUUCUGGGUCAACACUGACGCUGAGGCGCGAAAGUAUGGGUAGCAAAGAGGAUUAGAUACCCUCGUAGUCCAUACCAUAAACGAUGAUUGCUAGAUGUUGGAAAUUUAUUUUCAGUAUCGCAGCUAACGCAUUAAGCAAUCCGCCUGGGGAGUACGACCGCAAGGUUAAAACUCAAAUGAAUUGACGGGGACCCGCACAAGCGGUGGAGCAUGUGGUUUAAUUCGAAGAUACGCGCAGAACCUUACCAAGCCUUGACAUGUCUGUCGCGAGUUUAGGAAACUAGACUUUUCG